GAUUGCAUAUCAAUUAUGAACCUGCGGUGGUUUGGUGGACGUCAGAUUACUGCAGAAUACUUUGACGGCAAGACGAAUUAUAAAAUGGAGACCUUCAAACCUACAGAAGCCAUUGAGGCAGAAGAG
RNAcentral lists this non-coding RNA (126 nucleotides) under Gloeochaete wittrockiana. Lineage: Eukaryota; Glaucocystophyceae; Gloeochaetales; Gloeochaetaceae. The record is from RNAcentral.